This 500-nucleotide ribosomal RNA is filed under the name uncultured bacterium. RNAcentral describes it as "partial 16S ribosomal RNA". It matches the Rfam family "Bacterial small subunit ribosomal RNA", at positions 30 to 523 of the family's 1533-position model. The record is from RNAcentral.
AUUGAACGCUGGCGGCAUGCUUUACACAUGCAAGUCGAACGGCAGCACGGACUUCGGUCUGGUGGCGAGUGGCGAACGGGUGAGUAAUACAUCGGAACGUGCCCAGUUGUGGGGGAUAACUACUCGAAAGAGUAGCUAAUACCGCAUGAGAACUGAGGUUGAAAGCAGGGGAUCGUAAGACCUUGCGCAACUGGAGCGGCCGAUGGCAGAUUAGGUAGUUGGUGGGAUAAAAGCUUACCAAGCCGACGAUCUGUAGCUGGUCUGAGAGGACGACCAGCCACACUGGGACUGAGACACGGCCCAGACUCCUAAGGGAGGCAGCAGUGGGGAAUUUUGGACAAUGGGCGAAAGCCUGAUCCAGCAAUGCCGCGUGCAGGAUGAAGGCCUUCGGGUUGUAAACUGCUUUUGUACGGAACGAAAAGGCUCUGGCAAAUACCUGGGGCACAUGACGGUACCGUAAGAAUAAGCACCGGCUAACUACGUGCCAGCAGCCGCCGUAA